UGGGGAAUAUUGCACAAUGGGCGAAAGCCUGAUGCAGCAACGCCGCGUGAGUGAUGAAGGUCUUCGGAUUGUAAAGCUCUGUCUUUUGGGACGAUAAUGACGGUACCAAAGGAGGAAGCCACGGCUAACUACGUGCCAGCAGCCGCGGUAAUACGUAGGUGGCGAGCGUUGUCCGGAUUUACUGGGCGUAAAGGGUGCGUAGGCGGAUGUUUAAGUGAGAUGUGAAAUACCCGGGGCUU
Molecule: ribosomal RNA, 239 nt
Filed under: uncultured bacterium
Lineage: Bacteria
Description: partial 16S ribosomal RNA
Rfam family: Bacterial small subunit ribosomal RNA
Source: RNAcentral